AUAAAGGCCUGUCUGGUCCUCCUCCACUUCCCUAAUCCAUCUGUCUCCCUUGCUAUGUCUCUAAACCUUCUCCAGCCAGGACAUCAGAGGUACCCAGACAUUGUUAUGAAACUCCGCAUGUGUCCCUGGUGGACGCUGCUGGACCCAGCAUGCACACUUCUCGGCUAAGAGUCACCCUGGAUGAACCACCAUUGCCAGCGGGGAGCAUGUUGCAGCUUUCCCACGCAGUGGAUGAGAACCAAGGUUACGACCAUUGUGUGGGAGGCGUCUGUGUAGCAAUUGCUGGAAUCACUUGUGGCAUUGUAGAAAGACUGAGCGUGGGAAAGAAGACGCAUUCUGAAGUCACCCCGAUUUGUGUUAAAUUAUCACCUUGACUACUGCUAUAGAACGAAUGUUUAUGUCCCCCACCCAAAUUCGUAUGCUAAGACCUAAUAGCCAAUAAGAUAGUAUUAAUAGAUGGGGCCUUUGGGAGGUGAGUGGCUCCUGAGGGCAGAGUCCUCAAAACCAGAUAAGUGCCCGAAUAAAAGGGGCCCCAGAGAGAUCCCUUGCACCGUCCACCAUGUGAAGUGUAGAACACAGCAAGAAGGCCACCUAUGAGCCAGAACGUGGGCCCUCACGAGAACCCAAUUGUGCUGGCACCCUGAUCCUGGACUUCCAGCCUCCAAAAUGACGACAAAGAAGUUUGUUUUUCCUGAGCCAUCCACUUCAAAGUAUUCUGUCAUAGCUCCCCAAAUAGACU
This 739-nucleotide long non-coding RNA is filed under the name Pan troglodytes (chimpanzee). RNAcentral's name for it is "lincRNA". Lineage: Eukaryota; Metazoa; Chordata; Mammalia; Primates; Hominidae. The record is from RNAcentral.